CCCUUAGAUGUUCUGGGCCGCACGCGCGCUACACUGAUGCAUUCAACGAGCCUAUCCUUGACCGACAGGUCCGGGUAAUCUUUGAAUCUGCAUCGUGACGGGGAUAGAUUAUUGCAAUUAUUAAUCUUCAACUAGGAAUGCCUAGUAGGCGCAAGUCAUCAGCUUGCGUCGAUUACGUCCCUGCCCUUUGUACACACCGCCCGUCGCUCCUACCGAUUGGGUGUGCUGGUGAAAUGUUCGGAUCGGCCGUUUGUCGCGGUUUCCGCGGCUCGUGGCUGAGAAGUUCAUUAAACCCUCCCACCUAGAGGAAGGAGAAGUCGUAACA
Molecule: ribosomal RNA, 325 nt
Filed under: uncultured eukaryote
Lineage: Eukaryota
Description: partial 18S ribosomal RNA
Rfam family: Eukaryotic small subunit ribosomal RNA
Source: RNAcentral